UGGCUCAGAGCGAACGCUGGCGGCAGGCUUAACACAUGCAAGUCGAGCGGGUGUAGCAAUACAUCAGCGGCAGACGGGUGAGUAACGCGUGGGAACAUACCUUUUGGUUCGGAACAACCCAGGGAAACUUGGGCUAAUACCGGAUAAGCCCUUACGGGGAAAGAUUUAUCGCCGAAAGAUUGGCCCGCGUCUGAUUAGCUAGUUGGUGAGGUAAUGGCUCACCAAGGCGACGAUCAGUAGCUGGUCUGAGAGGAUGAUCAGCCACAUUGGGACUGAGACACGGCCCAAACUCCUACGGGAGGCAGCAGUGGGGAAUAUUGGACAAUGGGGGCAACCCUGAUCCAGCCCAUGCCGCGUGAGUGAUGAAGGCCCUAGGGUUGUAAAGCUCUUUUGUGCGGGAAGAUAAUGACGGUACCGCAAGAAUAAGCCCCGGCUAACUUCGUGCCAGCAGCAGC
Molecule: ribosomal RNA, 455 nt
Filed under: uncultured bacterium
Lineage: Bacteria
Description: bacterial SSU rRNA
Rfam family: Bacterial small subunit ribosomal RNA
Source: RNAcentral